Molecule: long non-coding RNA, 935 nt
Organism: Armigeres subalbatus
Lineage: Eukaryota; Metazoa; Arthropoda; Insecta; Diptera; Culicidae
Exons: 4
Source: RefSeq, a predicted model, not a curated record
AAUAAAGAUCUUCGGGAACUUUUUCCCGAAUAUUUUAAUUAUUUUAUUAUUUGAUAUCAUCAAAAAACCAAACAGCGGUCUUUAAAUAUUCAUGUUUUGACCAGGUUGAAUUAAAAAUAUAAAAAGGAACAAAAACUUUUGCAUAUUAUUUUACUCGAAGAUUGGCUGGAUUUAUUUGAGCGUGUAAGUUUUGUUUAUGAUUAGUGGAAUGAAAAAAUGAAACUGAUGUUGUGGUGCAGGAAGCGUCCCUUCAUAACGGAUUCUAGAAGUGGGCAAGCGGCGGAUCAUAGGCUGCUGUAUCGUGGAGGAAGUUUAUGGUAAGACCACGUAAGACAGAAUAUCGUUCGGCAGCUAUUAUUGGCCUAUCUUACCAAUUAGAUACAAUAAUAGCUGAUACAGUUUCACACAUAACCUGAUGUGUUAGAGACAACGACUAACUUCGAUUCACCACUCAAGAAAAAACCAAGGGGCACGACACAAGACAAUUCUCAAAAAAAUUCCCAUACUUUUCAUCGGAUUUUUUGAAAUAUUUUUUCCGAACGUUACUUUCAGUGUCUUAGAUGAAAAUAGCUUAAAUUAACUCAAAUUGGGCUAUCUUUCCUGCGAUUAGAAAUGCUUAGAAACGGAUAUUUUAGGAUAUUUCCGCGUGUAGCACUGUCAAGAUGCUGUCAAAAUGACAAACAAAGAGGAAAUAAUAUCGUUGGUUUUCUUUUGAUACUGUUCUAUACAAUAACCUCUUUAACAUUUUUUUGCCAAACUUAAAAUACAUAAUACAUUGGUACCGAUGUGCCCAAGGAUGUCUUUUAUUCGCAUAGCUGUGCAAAACAAAUUAAAUGCAUCAUCCGUACCGAUGUUUUCACAUCUGCGGCAUUUGAAGAAAUUCAUCAUGAUGAACUUGGCCAACGGUACAGAAACUGGAACAAGAACGGAAGAGU